This 343-nucleotide ribosomal RNA is filed under the name uncultured bacterium. RNAcentral's name for it is "bacterial SSU rRNA". It matches the Rfam family "Bacterial small subunit ribosomal RNA", at positions 8 to 351 of the family's 1533-position model. The record is from RNAcentral.
AGAGUUUGAUCAUGGCUCAGGAUGAACGCUAGCGGCGUGCUUAACACAUGCAAGUCGAACGAGAGAAGAUUAGUGCUUGCGCUGAUCCGAUCGAGUGGCGGACGGGUGAGUAACGCGUGGGUAACCUGCCUCAUACAGGGGAAUAACAGUUGGAAACGGCUGCUAAAACCGCAUAAGCGCACAGUAUCGCAUGAUACAGUGUGAAAAACUCCGGUGGUAUGAGAUGGACCCGCGUCUGAUUAGCUAGUGUGAGGUACGCCACAAGGCAACGAUCAGUAGCCGGCCUGAGAGGGUGACGGCCACAUUGGGACUGAGACACGGCCCAAACUCCUACGGGAGGCCA